CCUACGGGAGGCAGCAGUGGGGAAUAUUGCGCAAUGGGCGAAAGCCUGACGCAGCGACGCCGCGUGAGGGAUGAAGGCCUUCGGGUUGUAAACCUCUUUCAGCAGGGACGAAAACAGACGGUACCUGCAGAAGAAGCACCGGCCAACUACGUGCCAGCAGCCGCGGUAAUACGUAGGGUGCAAGCGUUGUCCGGAAUUAUUGGGCGUAAAGAGCUCGUAGGCGGUUUGUCGCGUCGGCUGUGAAAACUCGGGGCUCAACCCCGAGCCUGCAGUCGAUACGGGCAGACUAGAGUGCGGUAGGGGAGACUGGAAUUCCUGGUGUAGCGGUGAAAUGCGCAGAUAUCAGGAGGAACACCGGUGGCGAAGGCGGGUCUCUGGGCCGUAACUGACGCUGAGGAGCGAAAGCGUGGGGAGCAAACAGGAUUAGAUACCCUGGUAGUCCACGCCGUAAACGGUGGGUGCUAGGUGUAGGCGGUAUUCCACGCCGUCUGUGCCGCAGCUAACGCAUUAAGCACCCCGCCUGGGGAGUACGGCCGCAAGGCUAAAACUUAAAUGAAUUGACGA
This 564-nucleotide ribosomal RNA is filed under the name uncultured bacterium. RNAcentral describes it as "bacterial SSU rRNA". It matches the Rfam family "Bacterial small subunit ribosomal RNA", at positions 338 to 916 of the family's 1533-position model. The record is from RNAcentral.